RNAcentral lists this long non-coding RNA (1286 nucleotides) under Mus pahari (shrew mouse). RNAcentral describes it as "R-spondin 4, opposite strand (MGP_PahariEiJ_G0003375.1)". The record is from RNAcentral. Lineage: Eukaryota; Metazoa; Chordata; Mammalia; Rodentia; Muridae.
UGCAGGAGCCACUAAGAUAGGACACAGAGGUUGCGCAGAAUCGUUCUAUGUUUAAAUAGCUGGGAUACUGAACAAGCUGCUUGCCCAUCCUGGCCCAGUUAAGUCCAUGGCUCCCCACAGGAGGACAUUCUUGGCUCUCCAGCUCCCUAGCGUGUAUUUUCCUCCCCCCCCCCCCCCCCCGCUGAGGUAGGUGACUCUGGAAAAGAAUAUGCAGUGGGACAGGAGAGAAAAGACUUGGUGCCUCUGAAAGUGUUUGUGAAGCCAUAAGGGGGCCCCAGACUGAGAGAAAGAGAGAGCCACAUUACCAGAGCCAGACAGAACCCCGUUCUCCCGCUCACCAGCAAAACCCAAGGACAAAAAGGAAUGAGAGAAAAGCCUUCCUUCUGCUAGGUGUGUAAGCCCGGGAGAAAAUCCUCACAGCAUCCAGCCAAUUUGAAGGCGUGCCUUUUCACGUCCAGUAGUUCAGCAUCUGAGCCUCACUACAGAACAGCUGUGUGGUUGGUCAGUUCCAUGUUGAUUUGAAGCAGGAUAGAAAAAAAAAAUAUGGGAACACGAGAAGAGGAAGGAACCCAUCUCUCUGGGGUCUAGCUGGAGACUCACCAGCUGAGAAGCAUAAAUCUCAGGGCAAUCAACAGUGUCGACUUGAGGCCUUCUCUCCUCCUAGAUGGUACCUGACAUUUUCUGGAACGUCCAUGUGCAGCCCCAGUGGCUUGUGGUUUUACGUCAUCAGAUUAUAACUGAACCCGGGAGACACCCAGAAUCUCAAUAAUCAGAAAAGGGACUUGACACAUGGGAGAGCCGGGUACCUUCUGAGCCGAUUCAGCAGGGCUCAGGAGACGGUUUAAUGGACAAGAGGAACUGCUCUGAAAGCAUGAGAACCUCAUUCACAUCUGCAGCACUCACAGAAAAGCUAUGACUGGCUAUGUCACUUCAGCAUUGAGGGGCAGAGACAGGCAGAUCCCAGGCCCUUGAUGGCCGGCCGGCCGAGCCAAUGGUGAGCUCCAGGUUCCAUGAGAGACCCUGUCUUGAAAGGACAAAAUGGAAGGUAAUAGGAGAAGAUAUUCGAUCUCCUCUUCUGCCCUCUGAAUGGAUGUGCAUCUCUCACACACAGACACAGACACACACACACACACACACUCCCAAGAUCCUUUACAUCAUCACCAUUAUGACACUUCAGUGUGACUCUUCUUUGAGAAGUUUCCCUCCCCCAAUGCUCUUGGGAGUCAUAUUCUUUCCUUGAGUGCCUUUCCAUUUUUCUUUUUAAAUAAACCCCAGCUCCACUUCAU